This 986-nucleotide unclassified non-coding RNA is filed under the name uncultured Bordetella sp. RNAcentral describes it as "partial 16S-23S ribosomal RNA intergenic spacer". It matches the Rfam family "Bacterial small subunit ribosomal RNA", at positions 10 to 1019 of the family's 1533-position model. The record is from RNAcentral. Lineage: Bacteria; Pseudomonadati; Pseudomonadota; Betaproteobacteria; Burkholderiales; Alcaligenaceae.
GGUUCGAUUAUGGCUCAGAUUGGAAACGCUGGCGGGACAAGCUUACACAUGCAAGUCGAACGGCAGCACGGACUUCGGUCUGGUGGCGAGUGGCGAACGGGUAGUAAUGUAUCGGAACGUGCCUAGUAGCGGGGAUAACUACGCGAAAGCGUAGCUAAUACCGCAUAUUGCCCUUCGGGGAAAGCGGGGACCUUCGGGCCUCGCACUAUUAGAGCGGCCGAUAUCGAUUAGUUAGUUGGUGGGGUGCAACGGCUCACCGCGCGACGAUCCGUAGCUGGUUUGAGAGGACACCAGCCACACGGACUGAGACACGGCCCAGACUCCUACGGGAGGCAGCAGUGGGGAAUUUGGACAAUGGGAAACCCUGAUCCAGCCAUCCCGCGUGGAUGAAGGCCUUUCGGGUUGUAAAGCACUUUUGGCAGAAGAAACGGUGCAUCGAUAAUACCUCGCGCAACUGACGGUACCUGCAGAAUAAGCACCGCCAACUACGCCAGCAGCCGCGGUAAUACGUAGGGUGCAAGCGUUAAUCGGAAUUGGCGUAAAGCGUGUGCAGGCGGUUCGGAAAGAAAGAUGUGAAAUCCUGUUUUAACUUGGAACUGCAUUUUUAACUACCGAGCUAGAGUGUGUCAGAGGGAGUGUGAAUUCGCGUGUAGCAGUGAAAUGCGUAGAUAUGCGGAGGAACACCGAUGGCGAAGGCAGCCUCCUGAUAACACUGAUGCUCAUGCACGAAAGCGGGAGCAAACAGGAUUAGAUACCCUGGUAGUCCACGUCCAAACGAUGUCAACUAGCUGUUGGGGCCUUCGGACCUGGCAGCGCAGCUAACGCGAAGUUGACCGCCUGGGGAGUACGGUCGCAAGAUUAAAACUCAAAGGAAUUGACGGGGACUCCGCACAAGCGGUGGAUGAUGUGGAUUAAUUCGAUGCAUCGCGCGAAAACCUUACCUACCCUUGACAUGUCUGGAAUCCCGAAGAGAUUUGGGAGUGCUC